GUUCUCAGUGGGUUUCACUGACUGCACAGAUCGCACAAGAUUUCUGUUCGACACCUCUGACAAACGUUUUGUAGUAAAGACAGACGGUGUACUGAUGGUAAAGAGACCAGUUUUUCUUCAUGAAGGACACCAUGAGUUCUUCAUCCACUCCUGGGACUCACAAGGCCGCAAACUGACCAUUCCUGUCAGUGUGAGCAUGAAUGCAGCUGAUGCUCAGGUGCCUGUUCUGCAGUUUCCCGAGCCUGG
Molecule: long non-coding RNA, 246 nt
Organism: Oreochromis aureus
Lineage: Eukaryota; Metazoa; Chordata; Actinopteri; Cichliformes; Cichlidae
Exons: 3
Source: RefSeq, a predicted model, not a curated record